This 424-nucleotide ribosomal RNA is filed under the name uncultured prokaryote. RNAcentral's name for it is "bacterial SSU rRNA". It matches the Rfam family "Bacterial small subunit ribosomal RNA", at positions 355 to 796 of the family's 1533-position model. The record is from RNAcentral.
UAGGGAAUCUUGGACAAUGGGCGAAAGCCUGAUCCAGCCAUGCCGCGUGAGUGAAGAAGGCCCUAGGGUUGUAAAGCUCUUUUGGCGGGGAUGAUAAUGACGGUACCCGCAGAAUAAGCCCCGGCUAACUUCGUGCCAGCAGCUGCGGUAAUACGAAGGGGGCUAGCGUUGUUCGGAAUUACUGGGCGUAAAGCGCAUGCAGGCGGAUUGGUAAGUUAGAGGUGAAAUCCCGGGGCUCAACCUUGGAAUUGCCUUUGAUACUGCCAGUUUUGAGUCUGGGAGAGGUGAGUGGAAUUCCUAGUGUAGAGGUGAAAUUCGUAGAUAUUAGGAAGAACACCAGUGGCGAAGGCGGCUCACUGGCCCGGAACUGACGCUCAGGUGCGAAAGCGUGGGGAGCAAACAGGAUUAGAUACCCGCGUAGUCC